UUUAACUCCUAAGACGGUAGAGGCAUUGGUAUGCACAAGUGAUUGGCUCAAGGCGGAUGAGUUUAAUUAUUACAAAGAUCCAACACAAGGGGAAUUGGAGCUUUAUUCAACCUUAGAGGAAAUUGAACAAGAGGUUAUUUCAACUCAAAAUCUUCAAGGAGUGCCUCUACCAAGUGCUUCAACCACUACCCAAGCUUCCACAAGGACCACCGCCACCAUUUAUCUUUGAAUUUUUUGUUCUUUGUCUUUGGUUGAACUUGAACGUGUUGAAGAUGGCUUACUGGCUGCUUAGUUACUUGCUUUCUGGUUGCUUAGUUAUUUAGUUAUUUUAGUCAUUUGCUGAAUAUGUGACUCUAUCAUCAAAGGUGGAAUGUGAUAUGUGGU
Molecule: long non-coding RNA, 384 nt
Organism: Tripterygium wilfordii
Lineage: Eukaryota; Viridiplantae; Streptophyta; Magnoliopsida; Celastrales; Celastraceae
Exons: 3
Source: RefSeq, a predicted model, not a curated record